This 786-nucleotide ribosomal RNA is filed under the name uncultured bacterium. RNAcentral describes it as "bacterial SSU rRNA". It matches the Rfam family "Bacterial small subunit ribosomal RNA", at positions 62 to 818 of the family's 1533-position model. The record is from RNAcentral.
CCAAUUGAUUGACGGUGCUUGCAUCUGAUUGAUUUUGGUUGCCAACGAGUGGCGGACGGGUGAGUAACACGUAGGUAACCUGCCCAGAAGUGGGGGACAACAUUUGGAAACAGAUGCUAAUACCGCAUAACAGCGUUGUUCGCAUGAACAACGCUUAAAAGAUGGCUUCUCGCUAUCACUUCUGGAUGGACCUGCGGUGCAUUAGCUUGUUGGUGGGGUAACGGCCUACCAAGGCGAUGAUGCAUAGCCGAGUUGAGAGACUGAUCGGCCACAAUGGGACUGAGACACGGCCCAUACUCCUACGGGAGGCAGCAGUAGGGAAUCUUCCACAAUGGGCGCAAGCCUGAUGGAGCAACACCGCGUGAGUGAAGAAGGGUUUCGGCUCGUAAAGCUCUGUUGUUAAAGAAGAACACGUAUGAGAGUAACUGUUCAUACGUUGACGGUAUUUAACCAGAAAAUCACGGCUAACUACGUGCCAGCAGCCGCGGUAAUACGUAGGUGGCAAGCGUUAUCCGGAUUUAUUGGGCGUAAAGAGAGUGCAGGCGGUUUUCUAAGUCUGAUGUGAAAGCCUUCGGCUUAACCGGAGAAGUGCAUCGGAAACUGGAUAACUUGAGUGCAGAAGAGGGUAGUGGAACUCCAUGUGUAGCGGUGGAAUGCGUAGAUAUAUGGAAGAACACCAGUGGCGAAGGCGGCUACCUGGUCUGCAACUGACGCUGAGACUCGAAAGCAUGGGUAGCGAACAGGAUUAGAUACCCUGGUAGUCCAUGCCGUAAACGAUGAGUGCUA